AACGAACGCUGGCGGCGUGCCUAACACAUGCAAGUCGAACGAGAAAGGGGCUUCGGCUCCGAGUAAAGUGGCGCACGGGUGAGUAACACGUGGGUAACCUGCCUCUAAGAUUGGGAUAACUCGUCGAAAGAUGAGCUAAUACCGAAUAAGACCACAGUUCCCGCGGGAACAGGGGUCAAAGGUAGCCUCUGCUUGCAAGCUAUCACUUAGAGAUGGGCCUGCGCACCAUUAGCUAGUUGGUAGGGUAACGGCCUACCAAGGCAAAGAUGGUUAGCUGGUCUGGUAGGAUGAUCAGCCACACUGGAACUGAGACACGGUCCAGACUCCUACGGGAGGCAGCAGUGGGGAAUAUUGCGCAAUGGGCGAAAGCUUGACGCAGCAACGCCGCGUGAGUGAUGAAGGCCUUCGGGUCGUAAAGCUCUGUCGGGAGGAACGAAUGCUCCUGAGGUUAACAGCCUCGGGAGGUGACGGUACCUUCAAAGGAAGCACCGGCUAACUCUGUG
Molecule: ribosomal RNA, 503 nt
Filed under: uncultured bacterium
Lineage: Bacteria
Description: partial 16S ribosomal RNA
Rfam family: Bacterial small subunit ribosomal RNA
Source: RNAcentral